Cryptomeria japonica (Japanese cedar) is the source of this 883-nucleotide long non-coding RNA. RefSeq lists it as uncharacterized. The transcript is spliced from 2 exons. The record is from RefSeq and is a predicted model, not a curated record. NCBI's taxonomy places the organism in Eukaryota, Viridiplantae, Streptophyta, Pinopsida, Cupressales, Cupressaceae.
UCUCGUCCAGAUCCAACGGAACGGCUAGUUUUAAGAGCUUAUCUUUUUAAGAUCUUCCACCACUUUUGUUUCGAGAGAUUCAAAUGUUCCCCUCGUCCUUGGCGGCAAUAGGAUAAUUCUGUUUGACGGACUGGGAUGAAGGUACUCCUCUUUCUCACAUUUAGUACAAGCCGCUCCUCUUUUCAAGUAUUCGGAUAGUGCCCAAAUUCAGAUCAUUACCUCAAUUGGCGAGAAAUCCCAAAAGCAAGAGAAACAACAAGACAAGGAUGGGGAAGAAAAUGAUUGCAGAAAUGGGAAACGUGAGAAGGUGGACAAUGCAAAGAGGAAACGAUUACAGAAACCUCAACAGAAGGAUUUCCAAGUGCAGAACAAGCUCAAAAAAGGCAGCAAAAGGCGCCCCUGUUUGUGAGAAAGCCCAACAACAUUUGAAACAAGUAGAAGGGUACGAAGAAGAAGAAGAUGGUGAUGGUGUGAUUUGCAGCGUAUGUGGUGGUCAUGAUAGUGUUUUUGUGAUGGUUCGCGCUAGCUGCUAUGGAGAUCCAUUGUUUAAAGCUAUUCCAGAUGGGGACUGAUUCUGUGCAUGGUGUAUGCACUCUACAGCAGGGCAAUCCAAGUCAGUCAAGAAUGUGGUGCCAACGAAGAAAGGAUUUAAGACUAUCAUGAUUACUGAGAAGUUCAAUUGCAGGGCAAGAGACAUGAGGUGCUUAUGGAUAAGAAUAGAUGGAGGGCUUGCAAUAGAGUAAUGCAAAUACGUGUAGAGAAGUUGAUGGUGGGUUUUUGGUCCUUAAUGGGGCUAUUAUGUGUGUCAAUUAGGAGUUCCUGCAAGACAGGCAUAUUGUUCAGAAAUUGAGAUUUCAAAGCAGGUUUGAUUGACUUUAUUUUA